GAUGAAGAACGCAGCGAAAUGCGAUACGUAAUGUGAAUUGCAGAAUUCAGUGAAUCAUCGAGUCUUUGAACGCACAUUGCGCCCCCUGGUAUUCCGGGGGGCAUGCCUGUCCGAGCGUCAUUGCUGCCCUCAAGCACGGCUUGUGUGUUGGGCUUCGUCCCCCCGUGGACGUGCCCGAAAGGCAGUGGCGGCGUCCCGAAUGGUGCCCGAGCGUAUGGGAACUCUCUUCCGCUCGAACCGGCCCAUUCGGCGCUGGUCGAACCCCAAUUUUUUUUUACCGGUUGACCUCGGAUCAGGUAGGGAUACCCGCUGAACUUAAGCAUAUCAAUAAGCGGAGGA
RNAcentral lists this unclassified non-coding RNA (339 nucleotides) under soil metagenome. Its description in RNAcentral is "partial contains 5.8S ribosomal RNA, internal transcribed spacer 2, and large subunit ribosomal RNA". The stretch from base 1 to 120 matches the Rfam family "5.8S ribosomal RNA", at positions 35 to 154 of the family's 154-position model. The record is from RNAcentral.